Non-coding RNA from Monodelphis domestica (gray short-tailed opossum), 2773 nucleotides. Lineage: Eukaryota; Metazoa; Chordata; Mammalia; Didelphimorphia; Didelphidae. The record is from RefSeq and is a predicted model, not a curated record.
GACAGAGAAGGAAGGGAGAGAGGUGGGGGAGAAGAAGAAAGGGAGAGGGGAAGGGAGGAAGGAAGAGGGAAGGAGGGAGAGAGACAGGGAGGGGAAAGGAAGAGAGAGAAGGGUGAGGGAGUGAGACAGAAACAGAGGGAGGGAGAGAGAGGGGAGAAAGGAGAGAGGGAGGGAGACAGACAGACAUAGAGAAGGAAAGGAGAGAGGUGGGGGAGAAGAAGGAAGGGAGGGGAAGGAAGGGAGGAAGAAGGAAGGAGGGAGAGAGGCAGGAAGACAGAGACAGAGGGAGGGAGAGACAGAAGGGAGACAGACAGAGAAGGAAGGGAGAGACAGAAAGAAAAAGGAAGAGGGGGAGGCAGAGAAGAAAAAGAAAGGGAGAGAGAGAGGAAGGGAGGGGUAGAGAGACAGGGAGGGAGAAGGAAGGGAGAGAGAGACAGACAGAGAGAUAGGGAGACAGAGACAGGCACUAGGACAGAGAAUAGGCAGAGACAGAGACAGAGAGAUCAUCUAAUUCACUUCUCUCAUUUUACAAACCAAGACCCAGAAAAGUUCCAGUGGCCUGCUCAAGGUCUCUGUUUCAGGUCUGUGUUGGAAAUUUUAGCACUUGGCAUAUGGUUAGUAUUUAAUUAGUGCUUUCCAGGUGACUUGGGGACCAUCAUCAUUGUUGUGUCCAAUUCUUCAUGACCCCCUUCAGGAUUUUCUUGGCAAAGAUACUGGAGCGGUUUGCCAUUUCUAUCUCCAGCUCAUUUGACAGAUGAGAAAACCAAGGCACAAAUGGAGUUAAGUGACUUGCCCAAGGUCACACAGCUAGAAAGUGUCUAAGACUUGAAUUUGAAUUCAUGAUGUGGAGUCUUCGUGACUCCAGGCCUGGCACUCUACUAGCUGCCCAAUUGGCCAUACAGAUAGCAAAUAUAUGAACUAGAAUCUGAACCCAAGAUCAGAUUCCAAGUUUAGACCCAGGUUUUACUACUCCACGUUGCUGACCUGGUCCUUUUUUGUGUGUGAGGACCCUGCGACCUUUAUCCACUGUUUCCCCGAAGUUCCCAGCAGCUCCUGAGCUACAUAGGGUGGUCUCCUAGUUCAGACCUGAGCUUUUCCUACCAUAUUGUUGCCUAUGCCCAGAAUGCCCCACUCUCUCCGGUCUCUACCUAUGGCUAUCCUGUCCAAUCAAAACUCCUACCACACUUCGGAAGGAGGGAGGGGGGGAGGCAUUGCGGUGGUGUUUGGCAUUCUUCUUGUUCUCACUGCUAUUAAGAAUAAUUGGCCCUGGGUUGACCACAAUGUGCUGGGAAGGCCCUGGCCGCCGGCCAAGCUGUGGUCUGGCCACUGAAGCAAGCGGACACACUAGGGCAUUUUAGUGGGGAGGAUGUUUCCUUUUGCAGACAAGCGAAGAAUGCCCCUGCCAGGGCAGGUACGGGGGGAAGGCUCGGUGCACACUCCGCAGAUUCCCGUGGGGGCCGUGCGGCCUGGGUCUCCCUCGAGUUGCAGCUGCUUCAGACUCCCCGGUGGGCCUCCAUUCAUCGGCAGCAGGCGUGUGUGGCCCGUGCGGUGUGGCUCGCGGGAGUCUGCUCGUUGGAUUGCACCCUGGAAGCAGCCGGGAUUCUCUCAUCCAGCUCCCUCCCGCGCAGACUGGCCCAGACAAAGGGAGUUCUUUGUCCAAGGUGCGCCAUGUCUCCCUGAAUUUCUUGACUUGGACUCCAUGAGCAGAGCCAACUUGAAACCAGGCUCUACUUUAACACAAUCAGCCGACCGGCCUACUUCUACAAAGUCACAUCCAUUGUGAUCGACUCCCAGAGUUACUGGCCUACUCGGGAUGUCACCACUUCUUUCCUGGUCUACAAUGGUUCCCCAAUUGCUUUCCCGCUCUCCAGUCCAUAUUUCACACAGAAAUUAAAAUUGUCUUACUAAGGUGUAGAUCUGGUCCUGUUAGUCCUCUGCUCAAAAACCACCCAUGACUCCCUAUUGGGGGGACUCUUUGGCCCGGCAUUUGAAAGCUGUCAUAACCUGACUCAACUGUACCUUUCUAGCCUUGUUCAUGUCAAAAUGGUCCUCUGAGCUGCUUCCUCAUGUUGUCCUGCCAUCUCUGGUCUCAGCAUAGACCAUCUGUGCAGACCAUGGCCUCAGACCUGGGAAGAGUUACCCUCUUUGCCUCAACCUUUUGAAAUCUGUUUCUUCCUUCGAGGCCCAAGGACCCAGGUCCUCCCUCCAUAAGGCCUUUCCUGACUAGCUCUCCAUCUUCUCUUCUUCCCAGUUGCUGGCUGAAGGAAGGGCAUCUUCCCCCAUGUCUUGUCUGGGGCUCUGUCUCCUUUGCCCCACAGCCCCUUGGUGGGUAGACAUCCCGGAUUCUGCUGCUGAUGGGUCUCAGCCUUGAGCUCAGCUGGCCCUCAGACAACACCGUCUCCUUCCAGGCCGCCAUUCGAAGUCCUUCCAAUUUGGCAGGUACCUCCACUUUGUGUUCUGUUGGCACAGGUUUCCAGAGCCCAGGGUCACCUCCACUCCAGAGGAUGAAGUGACUGGAGGAGACUGUCUGAGCCUGAAAGAACUUCAGCAAUCACCCAGAUUGAUCCCUUUGUUUGACAGAGGGAAAAACUGAGGCCCUGAGACAAUUCCCUAACACUGAAGUGAAUUGUACAAAAUGGACUUGCUCCCAGGUCUCCCUGCCUGAAGCCCUCCCAGUUAUACAACAGUCAGAUCUGUCUCUCCUGUGCUGAGGGGGAGCCCAAACUCCCAACAACAUGGUAAGAUCCCUAAGGGUCAGGAUUGGCUUGAGAGA